This 66-nucleotide transfer RNA is filed under the name Gennadas parvus. RNAcentral's name for it is "tRNA-Ile". The record is from RNAcentral. Lineage: Eukaryota; Metazoa; Arthropoda; Malacostraca; Decapoda; Benthesicymidae.
AAUGAAGUGCCUGAUAAAAGGAUUAUCUUGAUAGGAUAAAUAAUGUUGCCCCCCCAACCUUCAUUG